This is a non-coding RNA of Ictidomys tridecemlineatus (thirteen-lined ground squirrel), 1825 nucleotides long. NCBI's taxonomy places the organism in Eukaryota, Metazoa, Chordata, Mammalia, Rodentia, Sciuridae. The record is from RefSeq and is a predicted model, not a curated record.
CUCUUAUCAGUGAAUGGUGAGAACUCUCCUGAAAUUCAAGUUCCCAGAUACCAGCAAAGGCCAAGCUUGUAAACAGACCUUUCUGUGAAAAAGCAGUGGGGCCUACUCUGAUAACUCUUUUUGUAGGGAAAGUGAGUAGUUUAAAUUGAGGUAACAGGGAAUUGAUGGAUUUUUUAAAAAUGGAAAUAUGUUAUCGUACUGAGAGUUUAAGGAGAGGGUGAUAAUGAUGUUUUGUUUCAUAAGGAUCUGGGGAAGCAGUGUGGGAGUCCUCCAAGGAUCGAAGCAGGCUUCAGAUCCAGAGGCCCUUUGGUCAUCCAUGCAGAGCAAGGAUGGAGAGAAGGGAAUGGAUUUGCAACCACAGCAGGACCCAUGGUUAUUGAGUAAGAGAUGAGGAUACCUUUCCAGGCUAUGAGAGAGGAAGCUGGCAGGCUGGAUCUCUAUCCACCUAGGAGGUCCAGUCAACUAUUGGGGACCUGAAGAUUCUGCAGGGCCAGGCUCUUCUGCUCUCUUUCCUCCUGCCAUCCAGGAGGUGACACUCUCCUGGAUACCACUGGGACUCAAGGACUUACCUAGGUAAAAGGAUUCUGUGGGCCUCUAGACUUCUGCUACUCUAAGUAUGGUCCAUGGACCAGCAACACUGGCAGAAAUGCAAAAUCUCAGGCCCCAGCCCAGACCAGCCCAGGACCCAUGGAGUCAGAACCUGGAUUGUAACAAGAUCUCCAAGAGAUUCAUUAAGGUUUGAGAAGCCCUGCCCUGUUCGGGCCUUCCUGUACUCUGCCUGCAGGAGAGUGGCUGUGGUGGUUAAAUUGAGAUUGGCAUCUGCGAAGCCACACGCUGCUCUGCCUGGGUCCUGCUGGUACUAGCUGUAGAGUCUUGGCAUCAUCUUCCUGUGCGUCAGUCUCUGUUCUGUGAACUGGGAAUAGUGCCUCCUCCAAUGGGUCACUGUGACUUAAAUGAGUCAUUGCAUGUAAAGGCCUUGGAACAGGGCCUGACACAUUGCAAAUGCCAGUAACUAUUAGAUUUGUUGCUAAAUAUGCGUCAGUGGCCCUGGCGGUGCUGGCCCCACCCAGUAAUGUGUACACACAUUCCCCCACUGACCUGGCAAAAGCGUGUCCCCCAACAUACUGCUCUGACGUUAUAGUGCCCCCUUGUGGCUCUGCCCUUAGUCUCCAGGUCUCCUGAGGAGCCCUAGAGUGGGCUAUCUUGUUACAGGACAGCCCUUCCAUUCUGGGAGGUCCCUCUCCUUCCAAGACCUCUUUUAUCCAGGUUAAUCAUUUGUGGUCCUCAGAGCUGAUCUCUGCAGGCCCUGGCUGCUGACCCCUUGGCCAUCCUGGGAGCACAUGGCCAUUUGUCUGUGUCCUUAAAGUACACAGCCGAAGUCAGUCAUUUAGGGAUGGUCUCAUGAUUGUCCCUUCAUGUCUGCUGAGUUUUGGGGACAGGCCAGUAAGGUGGCCAUAGGACAAGGUUCCUCUCCCAAGGGCUACCUCCAGGGUAACCCAGGUAGAAUAGAUGCUGAGCUUCCCAAGAAGGUCCAUGUGGAGCCGCAAAAAAAUGGAACCCCCUGGAGUUCUGGUGAGCACACAAGGGCACAUCUGAGUAAAGGUAAGCCCAGCAGUUCCCUCACAUCUUCAUGAGCUGACUAUAGCAACGUGCCUUGUCACAGAUGGGAGAGGGCAGAUGGUGGCUCAUCCCAAAUGGGCAAUGCUCCGCAACCUUUGGACCACAAUAGGACUUAGAAUUUCCUGUUAAACUUUUGGUCAAUGUUUCUGGAAUGCGAAUAAAGUAAAUCAAAUCCCAAGAGAUAAUAAAGUGUGCUUGCUCUUGC